Molecule: long non-coding RNA, 3307 nt
Organism: Salvelinus fontinalis (brook trout)
Lineage: Eukaryota; Metazoa; Chordata; Actinopteri; Salmoniformes; Salmonidae
Exons: 2
Source: RefSeq, a predicted model, not a curated record
AAAAUUGGGGGGCGACAAUACCUAAAAAGAGGUGUUGUUCCUACAGUCUUCGCGUGGAACUGGCAAAUUCAAAAGAGACCUGGUGUUUGGGAAAGAAGACUGAAACCUCCUGCUCCGACUGAGGGGGAUGAAGAACAAGAUGAAAUCCUGUGACUAGUGAAGUCUGGCCACUCGACAACCUGCCCGCUCGACUCCAUCCCCUCCUCCCUUCUCCAGACCAUCUCUGGAGACCUUCUCACUUCCCUCAUCAACUCAUCCCUGACCACUGGCUGCGUCCCCUCCUCAAGAAACCAACACUCGACUCAUCUGACGUGAAACUGUAGACCUGUAUCUCUUUCUUUUCUUUCCAAAACAUUGGAGUGUGCUAUCUCUGAUCAACUUUCUUGUUAUCACUCUCAGAAAAAUCUUCUUGACCCUAACCAGUCAGACUUCAAGACUGGUCACUCAACCAAGACUGCUCUUCUCUGUGUCAUGGAGUCUCUCCGCACAGCCAAAGCUGACUGUCACUCCUCUGUCCUCAUCCUCCUAGAUCUAUCCGCUGCCUUCGCCACCAAGAACCAUCAGAUCCUCCUCUCCAGCCUCUCAGGCUGGGCGUCUCCGGCUCUGCACGCUCUUGGAUUGCAUCCUACCUGGCAGGUCACUCCUACCUGGUGACGUGGAGAGGACCUGUGUCUCCAACACGUACUCUCACUACUGGUGUCCCCUAAGGGCUUGGUUCUAGGCCCCCUCCUCUCUAUACACCAAGGCACUCAGCUCCAUCAUAUGGUCUCUCCUAUCAUUGAUAUGCGGAUGACACAACUACUUUUCUCCUUCACCCUCUUCUGACACCCAGGUGGGUGACACGCAUUUCUGCGUGCUUGGCAGAUAUCUCAACUUGAAUGUCGGCCCACCACCUCAACCUCAACCUCGACAAGACGGAGCUGCUCUUCGUCCCGGGGAAGGCCUGCCCACUAUUUUGGAAAUUACAAGAUUAUGUUAUAAUGCUGUUAUUGCAUCAAAUGGUUGUUUUAUGCAACAGAAUAAGGGGUUGUUAGAACACUCAUCUGUGUGUGUUCUACUGAGGAUGGGCCUCUGGGAAAACACUGACAGGAGAUUUACCAUGUCUUUUGAGUGAUAAAACCUAAAGAGACCGCAUUCCAGAGCAUGAGUUAACUUCUUAUGGAUAGGGGGCAGCAUUUUCACGUUUGGAUGAAAAGCGUUCCCAGAGUAAACUGCCUCCUACUCAGUCCCAGAUGCUAAUAUAUGCAUAUUAUUAUUAGUAUUGGAUAGAAAACACUCUGAAGUUUCUAAAACGGUUUGAAUCAUGUCUGUGACUAUAACAGAACUUAUUUGGCAGGCAAAACCCCGAGGACAAACCAUUCAGAUUUGUUUUUUUUGAGGUCACUCUCUUUUCAAUGGGUUUUCAUUGAGAAUCCUGAUUUCUAAGGGACCUUCCUGCAGUUCCUAUCGUUUCCACUGGAUGUCAACAGUCAUUAGAAAUUGGUUGAGGUUUUUCCUUUUUUCCAUUUUUCCUGUUCCCAAGAAAGCUAAGGUAACUGAGCUAAAUGACUAUCGUCCCGUAGCACUCACUUCCGUCAUCAUGAAGUGCUUUGAGAGACUAGUCAUACACCUCCACCCUACCUGACACCCUAGACCCACUCCAAUUUGCUUACCGCCCCAAUAGGUCCACAGACGACGCAAUCGCAAUCACACUGUACACUGCUCUAACCCAUCUGGACAAGAGGAAUACCUAUGUAAGAAUGCUGUUCAUCAAUUACAGCUCAGCAUUUAACACCAUAGGUCUCGACGCCGCCCAGUACAGCUGGGUCCUGGACUUUGAGACGGGCCGCCCCCAGGUGGUGAGGGUAGGAAACAACAUCUCCACCCCGCUGAUCCUCAACACUGGGGCCCCACAAGGGUGCGUUCUCAGCCCUCUCCUGUACUCCCUGUUCACCCAUGACUGCGUGGCCAUUCACGCCUCCAACACAAUCAUCAAGUUUGCAGACGGCACUACAGUGGUAGAAUUGAUUACCAACAACGACGAGACGGCCUACAGGGAAGAGGUGAGGGGCCCUCGGAGUGUGGUGUCAGGAAAAUAACCUCACACUCAACGUCAACAAAGCAAAGGAGGUGAUCGUGGACUUCAGGAAACAGCAGAGGGAGCACCCCCCUAUCCACAGACGGGACAGUAGUGGAGAAGGUGGAAAGUUUUAAGUUCCUUGGUGUACACAUUACAGACAAACUGAAAUGGUCCACCCACACAGACAGUGUGGUGUGGAAGGCACAACAGCGCCUCUUCAACCUCAGGAGGCUGAAGAAAUUUGGCUUGUCACCGAAAACACUCACAACCUUCUACAGAUGCACAAUCGAGAGCAUCCUGUCGGGCUGUAUCACCGCCUGGUACGGCAACUGCUCCGCCCACAACCUUAAGGCUCUCCAGAGGGUAGUGAGGUCUGCACAACGCAUCACCGGGGGCAAACUACCUGCCCUCCAGGACACCUACACCACCCGAUGUCACAGGAAGGCCAAAAAGAUCAUCAAGGACAUCAACCACCCGAGCCACUGCCUGUUCACCCCGCUAUCAUCCAGAAGGCGAUGUCAGUACAGGUGCAUCAAAGCUGGGACCGAGAGACUGAAAAACAGCUUCUAUCUCAAGGCCAUCAGACUGUUGAACAGCCAUCAUUAACAUAGAGGCUGCUGCCAACAUACUGACUCAAUAUCUAGCCACUUUAAUAAUUAAAAAUUGGAUGUAAUAAAUGUAUCACUAGCCACUUUAAACGAUGCCACUUUAUAUAAUGUUUACAUACCCUACAUUACUCAUCUCAUAUGUAUAUACUGUACUCUAUACCAUUUACUGCAUCUUGCCUAUGCCGCAUGGCCAUCGCUCAUCCAUAUAUGUAUAUGUACAUAUUCUUAUUCAUUCCUUUACAUUUGUGUGUAUUAGGUAGUUGUGAAAUUGUUAGAUUACUUGUUAGAUAUUACUGUACGGUCGGAACUAGAAGCACAAACAUUUUGCUACACUCACAUUAACAUCUGCUAACCAUGUCUAUGUGACCAAUAACAUUUGAUUUGAUUUGUGAAUUAUAAGUGUAUUUCAUGCUAAUCUUAACCUUGUGACCCAUUCUAUACAUCUGUUGUUCGUCAUAUAGGUUAAACGGGGUGUAUCUUGGCUAUAAAAGACCGUUGUACUUCGUCUCGGGCUCUCAGCGAAUCAUCUGAGGUUGAUUCGUUGACCAGCCAUCAUUAUCGUAGAACACUCAAUCCAUUCUCUUUGUGUUGUAUUAACCUGCUCUCUUAUUAAGUCAAUAAAGAUGUAGUUUAAGUAUAA